Molecule: unclassified non-coding RNA, 262 nt
Filed under: plant metagenome
Description: partial contains small subunit ribosomal RNA, internal transcribed spacer 1, and 5.8S ribosomal RNA
Source: RNAcentral
UUUCCGUAGGUGAACCUGCGGAAGGAUCAUUAUUGUAUAACCGAGGUGCGAGGGCUGUCGCUGACCCGAAAGGUCGUGCACGCCCGAGUGCCCUUACACACAUCCAUCUCACCCCUAUGUGCACCACCGCGUGGGUCCCCCUUUGGCUUGUUCGGAGGGGGGCUUACGUUUUCACACAAAAUUUGUAUGCAGUGUAGAAUGUAUUUUUGUUUUUGCGAUCACGCAAUCAAUACAACUUUCAACAACGGAUCUCUUGGCUCUC